Leopardus geoffroyi (Geoffroy's cat) is the source of this 1591-nucleotide long non-coding RNA. RefSeq lists it as uncharacterized. The transcript is spliced from 2 exons. The record is from RefSeq and is a predicted model, not a curated record. Lineage: Eukaryota; Metazoa; Chordata; Mammalia; Carnivora; Felidae.
CCAGGAUUCUCUCAUUGCCUGCAGAUGUGCGCGUGGUGCACAUCUCAGCCUGGGUCUGGGCAUGAGAGAGGGGGUGUGAGGAGGAAGGCACUGGAAUGAUGGAUGGAGGCAAGAGGCCUGACCAAGAACACCUAGAAGAAGCCCGAGGAAAACCGCAGAACGCGCCAACAGCCCUGAAAAUCUAAGACUCUGUUCCCUGGCCAUGCAAUUUUCUACAUCCAGCACCCAAGGCUUGAGUGGGAAUCAAGAGGAGGCUAUGCUUGUUGAAGGAAGAGUCGAUAACGUACCCAGGCCCAGGCCAUCCACUCUCCUCUACUAUGAGGCUGGGGCUGGUGCCAGCAGAAGGCUACCUGAGAGUCGCCGUGUGGGGAAUCCAGGGGGUACGUCUGUGUGAAGUCUUGGCUGAGGCGCAGCCCAGAAGUCUCAGUAAAAGGGAGCAGAAGCUUCUGCCUCAGCCUCCUCUCCUCUCUUCUUCGGACCACGUCUCCCGGGCCCUUUUGUCCCUCCAUCCUUGGCGCUUGCGUGGGGAACACAGCCAUCGUGCUCUGAGGAAGUCCAACCCAACUUGCAGAGAAACCACAUGGAAAAGUGGAAACUCCUGCUGACGGCCAGCAUCCACCUGCUAGACAUGUGUGUGAAUGAGCUCUCAGAUGAGUCCAGCCCCAACCCUGACGACCUCCAGCUGAGGCCCCAAACAUGGGUUACAGGCUUAAAACACGUAAACUCCCCGAGGCUACCGAGCUGGGCAGGGGUGGAGCUCACCCUGUAACGGUAAAACCCUUUGCCACUUUACAAGAGCAGGCACUGUGCUGAGAAGGCAGAGAAUUUCACUGGUUUCUCUCAGCAGCUCUCAGAAAAUGCAAAAAUAUCCUUUUGGCCUCCAAUCAAAAGCCUCUGAGGAAAAAGUCCCCAAGUGCACAAUAGAGAAUUGUGUGACAAACGCGGAUCCGGGACUUCCAGUAGGAAGCCCGGCUGAGAAGGAGCAUUCUCUGGGACCCUUAAAAAGCCUCUCCAGCCCAAGUCACUUGUGUGAUUACGCAGCUGGCAAGAUUACAAGAAACAUAUGGAAAACAGAACCACAGACCAGCGGCACACCCAGGAGCAAAGAACAAAACUGAGCUUUAGGACUGUUAAAGCAGCCCUGGCAGGGAGCACAUUUCCUCGCGGCCCCAUCGCUGUCACCUUCCUUCAUCAGUCAGGCGCCUAUUCUUAGUCUGCAGUAUCUCAGCUGUGACCAAAGAGAACUCUCAACUGGCUGAAGAAUUACAGGGGCCCAGAAUAGCACAUACGAAGCUGGGCAAUGCAAGCCAGCAGGCCUUGCUAAAUUGUUAAGUGGAACAGGGCGGGUAGGAGGGAGACUCUGUGGGUCCAAGAACCUGCCUGUAACAGGAACCUGCUUUUUACCUAGGGAAAAGGUUGGAAUAGCCGGCUUGUGGCAAAAACAAUGCUUUAGGGAAGGAGAAGCAAAUUCAAAGGCGAGAGCUCUUACACAGAAGCCAGAAAGAGUCUUUGUCCAUUUAUUGCCUUGUAUUCAUUUUGCCAGAUUAAAAAAAAAAAAAAAAAAAUGGAGAGGCACCAGGUGGCUCAGUUG